UUUUGGUACUGAAGAUUGCUGAG
This 23-nucleotide non-coding RNA is filed under the name Rattus norvegicus (Norway rat). Lineage: Eukaryota; Metazoa; Chordata; Mammalia; Rodentia; Muridae. The record is from RNAcentral.